This 371-nucleotide long non-coding RNA is filed under the name Capra hircus (goat). RNAcentral describes it as "lncRNA (ENSCHIG00000005098.1)". Lineage: Eukaryota; Metazoa; Chordata; Mammalia; Artiodactyla; Bovidae. The record is from RNAcentral.
CACAAUUGGCUGUGUGCACGUCCCCCACACAGCAGUGCUGCUGACGUGCUAGACGGAAAGCCAAGCCAGGACCAUGGUUCUAACUCAUUCUCCAUCUCCCCCGCUGGAAGAGAAUGGUGAGCUACCGCCCCAGCUGUCUUGCAGAUACUGAAACCCUCACCAGGUGGGAGAAACUAACUGUAUGCUGCCCACAAGCACACAGACCCCAGACCCAUUGGAACUAGAUGGUUGAUGAUGCUGACUCCCACUUACCUUACCACCAAACCAAUCAGAAGAAUGUCCACCUGCUGAUCAUGGCCACACCCUCUUGGAAGCAUUACUAUAAAACGAUUCACUACCCGCCUCCAGAACUAUCUACUACUAUCCUAUGA